GAGACUCUGUGCGCGUGCAUAUCAAUAAGCGGAGGAAAAGAAACUAACUAGGAUUCCCCUAGUAACGGCGAGUGAAGCGGGAAGAGCUCAAAUUUGAAAUCUUCAAGGUUCUGACCUUGACGAAUUGUAGUUUAAAGAAGUGUUUUCUGUUAGGAGUAGGUAAAAGUUCUUUGGAAUAGGACAUCAUAGAGGGUGAGAAUCCCGUAUUUGACCUAUUCUUUCUAACUUUGUGAUACACUUUCAAAGAGUCGGAUUGUUUGGGAAUGCAGUCCAAAAUGGGUGGUAAAUUUCAUCUAAAGCUAAAUAUUGGCGAGAGACCGAUAGCGAACAAGUACCGUGAGGGAAAGAUGAAAAGAACUUUGAAAAGAGAGUUAAACAGUACGUGAAAUUGUCAAAAGGGAAGCGUUUGACACCAGUGUUGUUUUUCCGAAAAUCAAUUAAAAAUUGAUUCAUGCUAGGUUGUAUUGACCUCUGUCAGCUUGCAAUUUGGUUUUGGGUCUCUUUUUGAUGCACUUUUCGGUUAGCAAGUCAACAUCAAUUUCCUUUGCUGUAAAAAGGUAAGAGGAAGGUGGCUUCAAUUUCGGUUGAAGUGUUUAUAGCCUUUUAUCUCUGCAGUCGGGGAGAUUGAGGUCUGCAGCGUAGAUCCUUCGGGGCUAGAUACAUUUAUGCUAAGUUAUAGCUUUUCAUAGACAACUUGUUGACUAUGUUAGUCAUUGUAGAUUACUCGUCAGAUGCUAUUUUACCUACGCUUAGGAUGUUGAAGUCAUCGUAUCGCGC
This 777-nucleotide ribosomal RNA is filed under the name uncultured Neocallimastigales. RNAcentral describes it as "partial large subunit ribosomal RNA". It matches the Rfam family "Eukaryotic large subunit ribosomal RNA", at positions 23 to 645 of the family's 3401-position model. Lineage: Eukaryota; Fungi; Neocallimastigomycota; Neocallimastigomycetes; Neocallimastigales. The record is from RNAcentral.